UCGGGGGUGACCGAGCCUGGUCAGGGUACCCGCCUUUGAAGCGGUGGUCGGCUGACGCCGCGCGCGUUCAAAUCGCGCCCCCCGGGCCA
Molecule: transfer RNA, 89 nt
Filed under: Bradyrhizobium sp. 6(2017)
Lineage: Bacteria; Pseudomonadati; Pseudomonadota; Alphaproteobacteria; Hyphomicrobiales; Nitrobacteraceae
Also listed under: 1 other name
Description: tRNA-Gln
Source: RNAcentral